This is a non-coding RNA of Cricetulus griseus (Chinese hamster), 838 nucleotides long. The record is from RefSeq and is a predicted model, not a curated record. Lineage: Eukaryota; Metazoa; Chordata; Mammalia; Rodentia; Cricetidae.
CUUUUUAUUUAUGUCUGAGUCUGUGUGUGUAGGCUGCAUGUGUAGGGGUUCCCUUCCCAGAAGGCAGACGAUGCUGGAUCCUCUGGUGCUGGUGUUAUGGGUGGUUGUGAGCUGCCCUGUGUGAGUGCUGGGAACCUAACUUCCAUCCUGCGAGUGGGCAGCAAGUACUUGUAACCACCGAGCCAUUUCUUCAGCCCCUCCACUCUUUUUAAAUUCAAUUUUUCAUCUCCCCUGGAACUCACUGGGUAGCUCACAAUGAGAUAGCCUUGGCUCCAAGAUCCUCAUGCCUGCACCUCCCGGACGCUGCGAUGGCGGGGUGGACCAUCUCAGUGCUCCCAAAAGUUCAUUCACAGCGUCUCCAAACUCUCCUCCCGGUACCUGGGACUUAAGUCAGCAUUCUGAUUCCUCCUCGCCUGGUGUCUCUUUCAUAGCACCCAGACCUGCAAGUGUCUUCGUGUUGCUUGGACCGAUACUGUCUCGGGUUGAUUCUGCACAGAACACGUAACUUCUUAUGUAGCUCAACUCAACUAUGUAGCUGAAGAUGGCCUUGAACUCUGGAUCCUCCUGCCUCCUCUGGAGGGAUGGAUUACAGUGCUCGAAGACUGGAAGGCAGAUAUCUGAAGGUGAGAAGAGAAAUGAACCAGCAGUCUGAAAAAUGAGAGCCCUAAGGUGAAGCUGAGGAGAAGGAAAUGAAGCCAAAGAGGCAAGUGGUGGAGACAAUACUUCCGUGUAAAAAUGUAUUUAUUAAUGGCUGGAACAGAAGAAAUACCAAGUCCAGAUGGUAAGCAUUUUCUUGCAAAGUCACAUUAAAUUUAACAUUAGCCCAGGAAAGCUGAAC